GUAGCUACAGGCUUUACCUUUCUUGCCACAGUUUUAUAUUUAGUUUGUACUCUAGCCUCAUGCUUCAACCCAUAGUUUGUAGCAAGUCCACCAUUUGCUACCAUCCUUUCUAAUCCUUCAUAAGUCCUUCUUGAAUAUAUUUCUACUAUAGCAUCUCCAUCUAUGUUUAUAGCUAGAUUCUCCAAAACCUUUAUCAAAUCAUCUUCCAAACCUAUUUCUUCUAUUACUCUAACUAUGGCUUCAUCACUUGAAACUAAACCCACUCUUUUUAAGUUCUUCUCUUGUUUCUUUACCUUUUUUUAUUUAUAGAAUCUAAAUCUUUAAUCUUUUGAAUACUCACAAAUCCAUUACUAGAUAAGUUCAAAAAUCCAAAACUCAUACUAUCUACACUGGGGUUUGUAGAUGAAUCAUUUGCACCCAUGUGCCCCCAUCUUACAAGGGUGCUUUUUAGAAAUCCACAAAGUUAUUUCCUGGCUCCAAGGGCAUCCCUCUUAAUUGUUCUCUGUGUCUCUCAUGGAUAGGUUUCACAGUAAUAAAUUGCACAGCUUUUCUGCCAUCCCAACUCCGAAUUCUGGUAUAAUGUAAACCAUCAUUCAAGACUCUAGUCUCCAUUCUAGCAGCUGUAAUAUAAGGUUGACCAAGUAUUACCGGAUAUGUAGCAGAGUUUUGCACAAAGAAAUUUUGCUCCACUUCUACAUCUCGAAUUCUAGUCUUU
This 715-nucleotide long non-coding RNA is filed under the name Physcomitrium patens. RNAcentral's name for it is "long non-coding RNA (PPAT_LNC010171)". The record is from RNAcentral. Lineage: Eukaryota; Viridiplantae; Streptophyta; Bryopsida; Funariales; Funariaceae.